Melospiza melodia melodia is the source of this 246-nucleotide long non-coding RNA. RefSeq lists it as uncharacterized. The transcript has 3 exons. NCBI's taxonomy places the organism in Eukaryota, Metazoa, Chordata, Aves, Passeriformes, Passerellidae. The record is from RefSeq and is a predicted model, not a curated record.
GAAAAGUCUAAAUUUUCUGGAUCCAAACAAUGUACUAAAAUAUCAAUCACCAGUUGGAAGGAACCCUACUGUUCUUCAGUCUGGGGGACUCAGCAGCGAAGAGGCGAAGAAACUUUUUUAUUUUGCUCUGCCAAGACUGGUUUUGUGGCACAGUUUGAAGCAAAAAGACAUUGGGCAAUGCUGUUCAGAGGUGUACAAAUGUCCUCCUUUCUGAAACCAGGCUUCAGCUACCUACGUUUAAAAAGG